RNAcentral lists this ribosomal RNA (622 nucleotides) under Vibrio sp. RNAcentral's name for it is "bacterial SSU rRNA". It matches the Rfam family "Bacterial small subunit ribosomal RNA", at positions 102 to 720 of the family's 1533-position model. The record is from RNAcentral. Lineage: Bacteria; Pseudomonadati; Pseudomonadota; Gammaproteobacteria; Vibrionales; Vibrionaceae.
ACGGGUGAGUAAUGCCUGGGAAAUUGCCCUGAUGUGGGGGAUAACCAUUGGAAACGAUGGCUAAUACCGCAUAAUAGCUUCGGCUCAAAGAGGGGGACCUUCGGGCCUCUCGCGUCAGGAUAUGCCCAGGUGGGAUUAGCUAGUUGGUGAGGUAAGGGCUCACCAAGGCGACGAUCCCUAGCUGGUCUGAGAGGAUGAUCAGCCACACUGGAACUGAGACACGGUCCAGACUCCUACGGGAGGCAGCAGUGGGGAAUAUUGCACAAUGGGCGCAAGCCUGAUGCAGCCAUGCCGCGUGUAUGAAGAAGGCCUUCGGGUUGUAAAGUACUUUCAGCAGUGAGGAAGGUGGGUAUGUUAAUAGCAUACUCAUUUGACGUUAGCUGCAGAAGAAGCACCGGCUAACUCCGUGCCAGCAGCCGCGGUAAUACGGAGGGUGCGAGCGUUAAUCGGAAUUACUGGGCGUAAAGCGCAUGCAGGUGGAUGAUUAAGUCAGAUGUGAAAGCCCGGGGCUCAACCUCGGAAUAGCAUUUGAAACUGGUCAUCUAGAGUACUGUAGAGGGGGGUAGAAUUUCAGGUGUAGCGGUGAAAUGCGUAGAGAUCUGAAGGAAUACCGGUGGCGAAG